Molecule: ribosomal RNA, 305 nt
Filed under: uncultured bacterium
Lineage: Bacteria
Description: bacterial SSU rRNA
Rfam family: Bacterial small subunit ribosomal RNA
Source: RNAcentral
GCCUACGGGGCGCAGCAGUGGGGAAUAUUGCACAAUGGGGGAAACCCUGAUGCAGCGACGCCGCGUGAGUGAAGAAGUAUUUCGGUAUGUAAAGCUCUAUCAGCAGGGAAGAAGAAGGACGGUACCUGAGUAAGAAGCCCCGGCUAACUACGUGCCAGCAGCCGCGGUAAUACGUAGGGGGCAAGCGUUACCCGGAUUUACUGGGUGUAAAGGGAGCGUAGGUGGCAGGGCAAGUCAGAUGUGAAAACCCGGGGCUCAACUCCGGGAGUGCAUUUGAAACUGUCCAGCUAGAGUGCAGGAGAGGU